This 465-nucleotide ribosomal RNA is filed under the name uncultured bacterium. RNAcentral's name for it is "partial 16S ribosomal RNA". It matches the Rfam family "Bacterial small subunit ribosomal RNA", at positions 28 to 507 of the family's 1533-position model. The record is from RNAcentral.
GACGAACGCUGGCGGCGUGCUUAACACAUGCAAGUCGAACGGAAAGGCCCUGCUUGCAGGGUACUCGAGUGGCAAACGGGUGAGUAACACGUGGGUGAUCUGCCCUGCACUUCGGGAUAAGCCUGGGAAACUGGGUCUAAUACCGGAUAGGAGCCAUUUUUAGUGUGAUGGUUGGAAAGUUUUUUCGGUGUAGGAUGAGCUCGCGGCCUAUCAGCUUGUUGGUGGGGUAAUGGCCUACCAAGGCGGCGACGGGUAGCCGGCCUGAGAGGGUGGACGGCCACAUUGGGACUGAGAUACGGCCCAGACUCCUACGGGAGGCAGCAGUGGGGAAUAUUGCACAAUGGGCGCAAGCCUGAUGCAGCGACGCCGCGUGGGGGAUGACGGCCUUCGGGUUGUAAACUCCUUUCGCUAGGGACGAAGCUUUUUGUGACGGUACCUAGAUAAGAAGCACCGGCUAACUACAUG